Molecule: long non-coding RNA, 1100 nt
Organism: Syngnathoides biaculeatus (alligator pipefish)
Lineage: Eukaryota; Metazoa; Chordata; Actinopteri; Syngnathiformes; Syngnathidae
Exons: 3
Source: RefSeq, a predicted model, not a curated record
AUUGGCUGGCAACCAGUUCAGGGUGCACCCCGCCUCCUGCUCAUUGACAGCCGGGAAAGGCUCCGGCACUCCCCGCGGCCCGUGUGAGGAUAGGCGGCUAAGAAAAUGGCUGGAUGGAUCAAAUAAAUACCUGCAAAUUGCACCUUUGCCUCUCAGGGGCAGCGAUAUUACGAUUAGAAUAAUAGAAGACGAAAGGAGCGAAUUUGAUGAAUAUUACUAGUUUUUCAAAGAUUAAGAAUAUACGUCCGUAAUAUUGUUACAUGACCUGUUUGUGUGCGAAUAUUCCUCAUUUGAAGGCGACUCCCUCCCGCGUCGUCCAGUGCAAUUUUCGGCUAGCAGAUCACCUUGGGAAUUUCUGUCUUGGAGGACGAGAUUCUAGAUCCUUGGCGGAGCAGAAUCUUUGCGUCGAGAUUAUCGGCGCAUCAAAACUCUUCAAUUCCCGAUGUUUACAAAUCUCCAGGUGUGUACCAGGCUUCAGUAUGACACGGCGGCAGCACCAACACGGCCAAACCGGAGCAGGCUCGACCCUCGCGCACCCUCCACACGAAUGCGAUAUAAAAACACACAAGCAGGAAUGUACGUUCCCGGACGGUCUAUACAAUAUGAAAUCAAGUCAUAUUUCAAAAUAGUGUCAUCCGCUUAAGAUGUAUCGUUUACAAAUAAAGGAAAGCGGGCAUUUUUUUUUUUCUUCCUCCUAUGAUACAAAGAAAUGUAAUGCACCCUAAAUGAAGUCCAGGUAACUCGAGCAUGUUCGGGUUCAUCAUAAUUGACGAUUUCGAGAGUGCGUCCAGUCUCCGAUCGUCACCUUCGACGAGCGCGGAAAGGAGUCCCGGACGGGUCUUUCGAGCGCGUAGCGUUCCGAUCCGAUCAGUUUUGCGCCUCGUGUGACACGGACGCACGCCGCCGCGCGUCGCUCUGAAAUAAGGCAACGUGAUAUUAAAAAUGGCAUCCGUCCUUAGUUUUUAAUCCGUGGUGAGGAGUACGAACAAUUCAAGUAUGGGGAGGGGGACGGGGCGAGGUGGGGGAGUGGCGUUCUCAGACCUGGUCCGAACCUCCGGCACAAAAUAUGGACAUUCUUUUUUUUGAAAUGGCACGGUGCC